GUUGUAUUUCCCUGUUCUUCAAUCUGUUUGUAAACAUGUAACACCGGCCGCUUAAUCUGUUCUGUAUUUCCCUUUGCCUACUAUCCCUAUGGUGUUCAUCAUCUCAGGGAUUUGCUGGCACUGGAUCCAGUAGGAGGAGAUCCCUGUGGCAUUUGAUUCUUGUGGGAUUCCCACACAUCUUGCAGGAUCAACAGGUUAUCAACACCUUCUCAGUCCCUCUGCACCCAUGACCCAGGUUUGGUUCCUCUGGUGGUGGAGGAUUUUUUUUGUUCUAUUCGGAUGUGGGUUUCCGUACAUGAUCACAUGAUAAUGCCAUGAGUGACUAUGGGCCACUACCAAGAAGAGGCUCUAAUUAGCUUCAUUGAUAUGUUGCUUUGCUGAGCACGACACAAAUCGAAAGACUUUUCUGUACCAGGCCAAACCAACUACUUGCAUAUUGAAGAAACUUCCAUGAUGUUUUACGUGUGGAUUCUAACAACUGAUCUAGCGUAUAUGUUAUCAUAGCAGAAUAAGAGAUGCGCUCAAACCAGUGGAUUUUUCAUCCAAGAUGCUUUUAUAAGAAAUGCGGCAAACAUCAGUAAUGGACUGCACCAGGUAGUGAAGCUGCACAUCAGGGGAGCCCAAUGUAUCAUCUCUGUGCCAUGGGGUGUGUCGUGGGGACUGAUCCGUGGCUGAGGUCGACAAAAAAAACAGGGGAGCCCACGAACAACCAAAUUCCAGACUGGUUUUUGUCAUAUCGGACAUUAGUCAUGAAAGUUGCAGUCUUUCAUUUUUAUCAUACAAAGCACACUGAUUGGUUCUCAUGGGAUAGCGAUGCCUUUCAGUUGUUCUUGUCUGUACAUCCGAGUAAGGAUAACUACACACUUCUAAAAUUGUCAGUACAUACAAAUUGAUCUUUCUGGUGAUUGCUUUGGUAAUAACUACAAACUUCUAAAUUUGUCAUCUUUUUGGUUUGCAUAGCUAAUUUCCCCUGAGGAUUGUAGUAACGUUUAAACAAGUAUUUACACUUCUAAACAAGUAUGGAAAAAGGCGACUUGCUUGAACUGAAUCAGCCAUAAACCUCCCUUAAUUAUGUGCAUGUCUACAAAAACUUUAGGUCUGCCUCCCUGUAGAAAUACACAAGUAUAUUUGUAACACUUAGAUGCUUGCCUAUGUAAGCUUGCAUCACAGACCAGCAAGGAGGAAGACGAAGCCCGGGUUCAGCCCCGUUGGAGUUGGCAUCUGCUCACAGCAAGCUGCAGAUGAUGUCCGUAUUUUGUUUCUUUUCUCCUGUGGCAAACACAAGCAGGUGCUGAGAUAAGGCAGAAUUAUAUUCAGAUUCGUAGCUGCUAGGUAGUAUAUUUUAGCACUAAGUUUCUUUUAAAUUAUGGGCAUAAUCUGUGCGGAAUUUCAAUUUACUCCUAAAACAACAGUUGUAGCUCUUGUUUUUAUGUUUCCAAUGGUGCUGGUUUCACUGAAAUUUGAUUGGUAGUUUAGGAGUUAGGCCAGAAAAGGUGCUACUGUUUAGUAAUAGCGAGGCUGUGAGAAGAUCUAUUUACCUAUGUUCAACCAAGUUAGAGACAGUUUCAGUCCCAAUCACCUUAAAUAAAGUUGUAGGAAAUUCUCUAUGGGUAUCUUAAAAUAGUUUAUUUACUGAGAUCGGUUAAGUGGUUUAAAAGCUAUGAACAGAACAAUGAGUGACUCAGUAACUCAGUUUAAGUUUCAGCUAAAUUUAGAACUGGUUAUUUAGGUUUUUUACUCCAGGGAAAUAUUAAUGUAUUCAUGAAAUAGAUAUUUAAGUUUUUUUGUAUGUGAGUUGAUAUAACUUUUAUGUACUGCAGGCAGUUCGUUUAAAUCCACAUAACAGUGCCUUUAGUAGGCGAUAGCAAGGUAGUCAGACAAUCUUAGUUUGGGGAAAUAAGAUAGGUUACCUGACGAUACAUUGAAAGAGAAAGGAAUAUUGAUAUUUUGUCGAUGACGUGAACUGCAAAAGGAUGCUCUUGGUGACAGCAUCCUGGGCUUCUGAAACAUGCUCAGUUUAGCUGAAAUGAUGUAUUCAAUUAUGCAGAGAGAUGGAAUUGUUCGAACUCGAGUGCCACCAAUCGACGGCAUACCAAGACAUUACCACGAGAGCAGCGGUGCUUCCAGGAUGAAGAAUGAAUGCAUGUCAUUCAGGGAUAACUGUGGGCAAUGAAAUGUUGAAGGGUCCAUCUCUCACCCCACUCCAUAUAGAUGCUUAGUUCUUCAUGGCGAUUGUCUCUAAUGUUUUUGUUUGUAAUAUAUUUUGGCUUGGAAAUAUAAAAACUCAAUGCCGCCUGUCACACAAUUUUUUGUCGUCCGGGCAAACCCCCCUUUCCAUUAAUUUCUUGAUGUAUGGUUAUUGAUGCAGUCUUCUAGACGAAGAUGGAUUUAGGCUGUGUGAUUCCAUAGUAUACCUUGCACUUCCUUUAAGCAUGAAUAUCUGAACGUGCACGGUGUAUAUUUCUCAGCCAUGUUGUUUUUCUAUUUAUAUUUUCAGGACACAUAAAGUACAUGUAUUGCAUUAGAAUAUAACUUCUACUUCUGUGCUAUUAUUUUCCUUCAUGGUAUAUGUGGCAGAACACCAUGUAUAUCUAACAUCUUCAGGUUUCAGGAUUUAAAUGCCCUUUGUUUUCUGUAGGUGGUUACCUGAGAUUUUAUUUGAUUACUCUAUUAGAUCGUAAGCAAAUUAAGACAUAUGUUGAUCUUGCAAUUGAUAGCAUUUCCUGUCAUAUUGUUGAUUCUCUUACAGAUCCACCACCUCAGAUGGUGCUGACAGGGUGCAAAGCAGUCUUCCUUAGAGCUUUGGUACCGGGUUUUAAGGAGAACAUUUGCCCUCAUGAAGCCCCACUUUGUGGUGAUUGCAGCUGUAGCUAAGGAGGGUACCCGUCAGCGCCAGCUCACUGCUUGCCUAUGUAAUCAAUCUAUAUUUCCAACCUUUUUGUUUAUGGUAAGUAGAACAACGCCUAGAAAGAAUGAAAGACUGUUUCUAAAUUCUAAUUACCUUUGCUGCAUCUAACCUAACUGCCAUGCCUAUGUGACCACUAAAGCAAAUACCAUUGUUUCAUCUGCAGCGUAGUCCAGAUUUAGUUUUAGUGAUUUCUUAACCCUUUUGUUCUUGCUCUGAAGAUUAAGACAUGCACGGGCCUUAGACUAUAGUAAGCAUCUAUGUUAUACGCAUCUUUUCAUUGCCGCGUAUACUAAAUGUAAUCAGGGACUUACUAAUAUUGAUGUAUCCCCUCAGUUGUAUUGGUACUACUACAUAUUCGUCAUGACACUACCAAUUAUAUAUAGCAAAUUCAAAGGUGUCUAUAUGAUGCAUCUCUACCUAUGUGUCUUGCUUGUUAAAAACAAUGUAAAUAAGCUACAAGAUAACUAAAGAAGCAUACAACUAUGUGGAGGAAGUGUGUGCUACAUCAAACAAAAUUCAUGGCCUUGCUGGCAUUAGCCUUGGACCCUGCUGCCUCAAUGUCUGUUUCUAAUCUGAAGCAGGCUCUCAUGGAGAUUCACGAUGUAGUGGUCGCACUUCAAAACACUGCAACCACAACAUCUCAGUUCCUAGAGGAAAAAGGCAUGUACUCAGAUGAUGAAGUGCCUGAUCCAUUCUAUAGGGGCAUUCUGAUGAAGAUUCAGCUGAUGAUUGUCAUCAAGACAUGGACGACGACUACGGUCACUAUGUCCGAUCCCCAUGAGCAUCAUAUUCAGCCUGCUAAGCUGUCUGAUGCCAUGUGAAGCUGUAUAUGUAUAGCUUCACCAUUACGACUUGGUUCUGUGGCUGUUGUGUUUAUUCUCCUAUGCUGGCUGAAUAAGAUGCGAAGCUCUUUGUUUAUAGCUUUGCCUUAGAUUUUUUUUCCUUUUUGAACUGCACUAUGGUCAUGUAUAAGUAUGAAAUCCAUGUUGAUGCGUUGAGCUUAUUUAUCUAUGUUGCAUCUUUGCUUUUGCCCA
Long non-coding RNA from Triticum dicoccoides, 3942 nucleotides. RefSeq lists it as uncharacterized. The transcript has 6 exons. The record is from RefSeq and is a predicted model, not a curated record. Lineage: Eukaryota; Viridiplantae; Streptophyta; Magnoliopsida; Poales; Poaceae.